Molecule: non-coding RNA, 83 nt
Filed under: Chloroflexota bacterium
Lineage: Bacteria; Bacillati; Chloroflexota
Description: Chloroflexi bacterium c-di-GMP-II sequence
Rfam family: c-di-GMP-II-GAG riboswitch aptamer
Source: RNAcentral
CAGUCUUGGGGAAGCGAUGAACCACCGCCCGUGGAUGGUCACUGGGGCGUGGGGAGCUAGCAGUGAAACCGACCCAGAAGUGG